GGCGGGCGUGGUGGCACGUGCCUGUAGUCCCAGCUACUCGGGAGGCUGAGGCUGGAGGAUCACUUGAGCCCAGGGGUUCUGAGCUGUAGUGUGCUAUGCCGCUUGGGUGUCUGCACUAAGUUAGGCAUUAAUAUGGUGACCUCCCAGGAGCGGGGGACCACCAGGUUGCCUAAGGAGGGGUCAACUGGCCCAGGUCAGAAAUGGAGCAGGUCAAAACUCCCGUGCUGAUCAGUAGUGGGAUUGUGCCUGUGAAUAGCCACUGCACUUCAGCCUGAGCAACAUAGGAUGACCCCGUCUCU
Molecule: signal recognition particle RNA, 299 nt
Filed under: Saimiri boliviensis boliviensis (Bolivian squirrel monkey)
Lineage: Eukaryota; Metazoa; Chordata; Mammalia; Primates; Cebidae
Description: Metazoan signal recognition particle RNA (ENSSBOG00000004981.1)
Rfam family: Metazoan signal recognition particle RNA
About the family: The signal recognition particle (SRP) is a universally conserved ribonucleoprotein. It is involved in the co-translational targeting of proteins to membranes. The eukaryotic SRP consists of a 300-nucleotide 7S RNA and six proteins: SRPs 72, 68, 54, 19, 14, and 9.
Source: RNAcentral